Molecule: ribosomal RNA, 602 nt
Filed under: Escherichia coli
Lineage: Bacteria; Pseudomonadati; Pseudomonadota; Gammaproteobacteria; Enterobacterales; Enterobacteriaceae
Description: bacterial SSU rRNA
Rfam family: Bacterial small subunit ribosomal RNA
Source: RNAcentral
ACGAGUGGCGGACGGGUGAGUAAUGUCUGGGAAACUGCCUGAUGGAGGGGGAUAACUACUGGAAACGGUAGCUAAUACCGCAUAACGUCGCAAGACCAAAGAGGGGGACCUUCGGGCCUCUUGCCAUCGGAUGUGCCCAGAUGGGAUUAGCUAGUAGGUGGGGUAAAGGCUCACCUAGGCGACGAUCCCUAGCUGGUCUGAGAGGAUGACCAGCCACACUGGAACUGAGACACGGUCCAGACUCCUACGGGAGGCAGCAGUGGGGAAUAUUGCACAAUGGGCGCAAGCCUGAUGCAGCCAUGCCGCGUGUAUGAAGAAGGCCUUCGGGUUGUAAAGUACUUUCAGCGGGGAGGAAGGGAGUAAAGUUAAUACCUUUGCUCAUUGACGUUACCCGCAGAAGAAGCACCGGCUAACUCCGUGCCAGCAGCCGCGGUAAUACGGAGGGUGCAAGCGUUAAUCGGAAUUACUGGGCGUAAAGCGCACGCAGGCGGUUUGUUAAGUCAGAUGUGAAAUCCCCGGGCUCAACCUGGGAACUGCAUCUGAUACUGGCAAGCUUGAGUCUCGUAGAGGGGGGUAGAAUUCCAGGUGUAGCGGUGAAAUGC